Molecule: long non-coding RNA, 446 nt
Filed under: Olea europaea subsp. europaea
Lineage: Eukaryota; Viridiplantae; Streptophyta; Magnoliopsida; Lamiales; Oleaceae
Source: RNAcentral
CGAAAUUGUGUGAUUGAUUGUGGGAGAUGCAUCAGCAGUUUGUCUUAAAUGUGACUAGGAAGCCUGGGAUUCAUCAAUCGACGACAUGGAAUUUCUAGUUAUUGAAGAAGAACAGUUGUGAAAUCACAAAGAUAUUUGGAGCUAUAUUGUGUGGUUCUUGUUAGGUCAAUCGGCCAAGGGACUUGGUGCAAAAGACAACAUAUAUUGUCAAAUAAUGUUUAUUUUGUCUGGUUGUUUUCACGAAAGAAUAAGCAUCUUCAGGCAAGUCUUCUUAAACUGCUAAGAUGCCAAAUAACAGCCACGACCAAGUUUUCUGUGCAUUAGAAGAUAGUAUUGUACAGUAACUUCUUUUUCUCCUUUGAUCAUGUUUAGAGUAUAAAAAUACGUGAACAUAAUAUCUAUGGCAACGACAAUAACUAAGUGUGGUGAAAAUUUUUGUAAUAGGA